Molecule: ribosomal RNA, 1515 nt
Filed under: uncultured prokaryote
Description: partial 16S ribosomal RNA
Rfam family: Bacterial small subunit ribosomal RNA
Source: RNAcentral
AGAGUUUGAUCCUGGCUCAGAACGAACGCUAGCGGCGUGGAUAAGGCAUGCAAGUCGAGCGAGAAAGUACCUUUCGGGGUGCGAGUAAAGCGGCAAACGGGUGAGUAACACGUGGGUAAUCUACCGUAUGGUGGGGGACAACAUCGGGAAACUGAUGCUAAUACCGCAUAAUGUUACAUUGUCAUAAGUCAAUGUAACCAAAGGAGGGGAUCUUCGGACCUUUCGCCAAAUGAGGAGCCCGCGUCUGAUUAGCUAGUUGGUGGGGUAACGGCCUACCAAGGCGAUGAUCAGUAGCCGGUCUGAGAGGAUGGCCGGUCACACUGGGAUUGAGAUACGGCCCAGACUCCUACGGGAGGCAGCAGUCUAGAAGCUUCGGCAAUGGGCGAAAGCCUGACCGAGCGACGCCGCGUGCAGGACGAAGGCCUUCGGGUUGUAAACUGCUUUCGACAGGGAUGAACGGUAUGUAGGCCAAUACCCUAUAUAUUUGACAGUACCUGGAGAAGAAGCCCUGGCUAACUCCGUGCCAGCAGCCGCGGUAAUACGGAGAGGGCAAGCGUUGUUCGGAUUUAUUGGGCGUAAAGCGAGUGCAGGCUGUAUAGUAAGUCGGAUGUUAAAGACCCACGGCUCACCCGGGGGAAUGCGUCCGAUACUGCUAAACUAGAGUGUGGGAGAGGAAAGUGGAAUUCCAGGUGUAGCGGUGAAAUGCGUAGAUAUCUGGAGGAACACCGGUGGCGAAGGCGGCUUUCUGGCCCACAACUGACGCUGAGACUCGAAAGCGUGGGGAGCGAACGGGAUUAGAUACCCCGGUAGUCCACGCCGUAAACGUUGGAUACUAGGUGUGGGAGGUAUUCUACCCCUUCUGUGCCGUCGCUAACGCAUUAAGUAUCCCGCCUGGGGAGUACGACCGCAAGGUUGAAACUCAAAGGAAUUGACGGGGGCCCGCACAAGCGGUGGAGCAUGCGGUUUAAUUCGAUGCAACGCGAACCUUACCAGCCCUUGACAUCCCGAUUGGGAGGAGCAGAGAUGCACCUCUUCAUUUAGUUGGAUCGGUGACAGGUGCUGCAUGGCUGUCGUCAGCUCGUGUCGUGAGAUGUUGGGUUAAGUCCCGCAACGAGCGCAACCCCUGUUAUCAGUUGCCAUCAGUUCGGCUGGGCACUCUGAUGAGACUGCCGGUGAUAAGCCGGAGGAAGGCGGGGAUGACGUCAAGUCCUCAUGGCCCUUAUGGGCUGGGCUACACACGUGCUACAAUGGCAGAUACAAUGAGCAGCAAACUCGCGAGGGUAAGCUAAUCUUUAAAAUCUGUCUCAGUUCGGAUUGUUCUCUGCAACUCGAGAGCAUGAAGUCGGGAAUCGCUAGUAAUCGCGUAUCAGCAACGACGCGGUGAAUACGUUCCCGGGCCUUGUACACACCGCCCGUCACAUGACCCGAGUUGGCUGCUCCCGAAGUCGCUGUCCGAACCGUAAGGGCGGAGGUGCCGAAGGAGUGGCUGGUAAGGAGGAUGAAGUCGUAACAAGG